This 174-nucleotide ribosomal RNA is filed under the name uncultured bacterium. RNAcentral describes it as "partial 16S ribosomal RNA". It matches the Rfam family "Bacterial small subunit ribosomal RNA", at positions 1329 to 1500 of the family's 1533-position model. The record is from RNAcentral.
GAAUCGCUAGUAAUCGCGGAUCAGAAUGCCGCGGUGAAUACGUUCCCGGGUCUUGUACACACCGCCCGUCACACCAUGGGAGUCGGAAAUGCCCGAAGUCUGUGACCCAACCUGAGAGGGAGGGAGCAGCCGAAGGCAGGUCUGAUGACUGGGGUGAAGUCGUAACAAGGUAGC